AUUGAACGCUGGCGGCAGGCCUAACACAUGCAAGUCGAGCGGUAGCACAGGAGAGCUUGCUCUCCGGGUGACGAGCGGCGGACGGGUGAGUAAUGUCUGGGAAACUGCCUGAUGGAGGGGGAUAACUACUGGAAACGGUAGCUAAUACCGCAUAACGUCGCAAGACCAAAGAGGGGGACCUUCGGGCCUCUUGCCAUCAGAUGUGCCCAGAUGGGAUUAGCUAGUAGGUGGGGUAACGGCUCACCUAGGCGACGAUCCCUAGCUGGUCUGAGAGGAUGACCAGCCACGCUGGAACGGAGACCCGGUCCAGACUCCUACGGGAGGCAGCAGUGGGGAAUAUUGCACAAUGGGCGCAGGCCUGAUGCAGCCAUGCCGCGUGUAUGAAGAAGGCCUUCGGGUUGUAAAGUACUUUCAGCGGGGAGGAAGGUGUUGUGGUUAAUAACCACAGCAAUUGACGUUACCCGCAGAAGAAGCACCGGCUAACUCCGUGCCAGCAGCCGCAGUAA
RNAcentral lists this ribosomal RNA (506 nucleotides) under uncultured bacterium. Its description in RNAcentral is "partial 16S ribosomal RNA". It matches the Rfam family "Bacterial small subunit ribosomal RNA", at positions 29 to 523 of the family's 1533-position model. The record is from RNAcentral.